RNAcentral lists this ribosomal RNA (459 nucleotides) under uncultured bacterium. RNAcentral describes it as "partial 16S ribosomal RNA". It matches the Rfam family "Bacterial small subunit ribosomal RNA", at positions 338 to 795 of the family's 1533-position model. The record is from RNAcentral.
CCUACGGGUGGCAGCAGUGAGGAAUAUUGGUCAAUGGGAGAGAUACUGAACCAGCCAAGCCGCGUGAGGGAAGACGGCCCUAUGGGUUGUAAACCUCUUUUGUCAGAGAACAAAACCCGGGACGUGUCCCGGACUGCGUGUAUCCGAAGAAAAAGCAUCGGCUAACUCCGUGCCAGCAGCCGCGGUAAUACGGAGGAUGCGAGCGUUAUCCGGAUUUAUUGGGUUUAAAGGGUGCGUAGGCGGUCCGUUAAGUCAGCGGUAAAAGUGCGGGGCUCAACCCCGUCGAGCCGUUGAAACUGGCAGACUUGAGUUGGCGAGAAGUACGCGGAAUGCGCGGUGUAGCGGUGAAAGGCAUAGAUAUCGCGCAGAACUCCGAUUGCGAAGGCAGCGUACCGGCGCCAGACUGACGCUGAGGCACGAAAGCGUGGGGAUCGAACAGGAUUAGAUACCCGGGUAGUC